RNAcentral lists this ribosomal RNA (497 nucleotides) under uncultured bacterium. RNAcentral's name for it is "partial 16S ribosomal RNA". It matches the Rfam family "Bacterial small subunit ribosomal RNA", at positions 28 to 507 of the family's 1533-position model. The record is from RNAcentral.
GAUGAACGCUGGCGGCGUGCCUAAUACAUGCAAGUCGAGCGAACAGACGAGGAGCUUGCUCCUCUGACGUUAGCGGCGGACGGGUGAGUAACACGUGGAUAACCUACCUAUAAGACUGGGAUAACUUCGGGAAACCGGAGCUAAUACCGGAUAAUAUAUUGAACCGCAUGGUUCAAUAGUGAAAGACGGUUUUGCUGUCACUUAUAGAUGGAUCCGCGCCGCAUUAGCUAGUUGGUAAGGUAACGGCUUACCAAGGCAACGAUGCGUAGCCGACCUGAGAGGGUGAUCGGCCACACUGGAACUGAGACACGGUCCAGACUCCUACGGGAGGCAGCAAUAGGGAAUCUUCCGCAAUGGGCGAAAGCCUGACGGAGCAACGCCGCGUGAGUGAUGAAGGUCUUCGGAUCGUAAAACUCUGUUAUUGGGGAAGAACAAAUGUGUAAGUAACUAUGCACGUCUUGACGGUACCUAAUCAGAAAGCCACGGCUAACUACGUG